This 901-nucleotide ribosomal RNA is filed under the name uncultured bacterium. RNAcentral's name for it is "bacterial SSU rRNA". It matches the Rfam family "Bacterial small subunit ribosomal RNA", at positions 8 to 916 of the family's 1533-position model. The record is from RNAcentral.
AGAGUUUGAUCAUGGCUCAGGACGAACGCUGGCGGCGUGCUUAACACAUGCAAGUCGAACGAGAUCCAUUCAGUAGCAAUACUGAUGAGGAUCUAGUGGCGAACGGGUGCGUAACACGUGAGGAACUUGUCCCGGUCUCUGGGAUAACAGUUGGAAACGACUGCUAAUACCGGAUGACGUCGGAACUUCGCAUGGAGUACUGACGAAAGGGUUACUGGAUCGGGAGAGCCUCGCGGCCUAUCAGCUUGUUGGUGGGGUAACGGCCUACCAAGGCAUCGACGGGUAGCUGGUCUGAGAGGAUGAUCAGCCACACUGGGACUGAGACACGGCCCAGACUCCUACGGGAGGCAGCAGUGGGGAAUCUUGCACAAUGGGCGAAAGCCUGAUGCAGCAACGCCGCGUGCGGGAAGAAGGCCCUCGGGUUGUAAACCGCUUUCAGAAGGAACGAAACUGACGGUACUUUCAGAAGAAGGUGCGGCCAACUACGUGCCAGCAGCCGCGGUGACACGUAGGCACCAAGCGUUGUCCGGAUUUAUUGGGCGUAAAGAGCUCGUAGGCGGUUCAGUAAGUCGGGUGUGAAAACUUUGGGCUUAACCCAAAGCGUGCAUCCGAUACUGCUGUGACUUGAGUACGGUAGGGGAGCGGGGAAUUCCUAGUGUAGCGGUGAAAUGCGCAGAUAUUAGGAGGAACACCGGUGGCGAAGGCGCCGCUCUGGGCCGAAACUGACGCUGAGGAGCGAAAGCAUGGGUAGCAAACAGGAUUAGAUACCCUGGUAGUCCAUGCCGUAAACGUUGGGCACUAGGUGUGGGUUCCAACCAACGGAAUCCGCGCCGUCGCUAACGCAUUAAGUGCCCCGCCUGGGGAGUACGGCCGCAAGGUUAAAACUCAAAGGAAUUGACGG